This 221-nucleotide ribosomal RNA is filed under the name Escherichia coli. RNAcentral describes it as "partial 16S ribosomal RNA". It matches the Rfam family "Bacterial small subunit ribosomal RNA", at positions 1050 to 1271 of the family's 1533-position model. Lineage: Bacteria; Pseudomonadati; Pseudomonadota; Gammaproteobacteria; Enterobacterales; Enterobacteriaceae. The record is from RNAcentral.
UGUCGUCAGCUCGUGUUGUGAAAUGUUGGGUUAAGUCCCGCAACGAGCGCAACCCUUAUCCUUUGUUGCCAGCGGUCCGGCCGGGAACUCAAAGGAGACUGCCAGUGAUAAACUGGAGGAAGGUGGGGAUGACGUCAAGUCAUCAUGGCCCUUACGACCAGGGCUACACACGUGCUACAAUGGCGCAUACAAAGAGAAGCGACCUCGCGAGAGCAAGCGGA